Molecule: ribosomal RNA, 253 nt
Filed under: uncultured bacterium
Lineage: Bacteria
Description: partial 16S ribosomal RNA
Rfam family: Bacterial small subunit ribosomal RNA
Source: RNAcentral
UACGUAGGGUGCGAGCGUUAAUCGGAAUUACUGGGCGUAAAGCGUGCGCAGGCGGGCUUUUAAGCCAGACGUGAAAUCCCCGGGCUUAACCUGGGAAUGGCGUUUGGGACUGGAAGUCUGGAGUGCGGCAGAGGAGACUGGAAUUCCUGGUGUAGCAGUGAAAUGCGUAGAUAUCAUGAGGAAGACCAGUGGCGAAGGCGGGUCUCUGGACAGUUCCUGACACUGAGACACGAAGGCCAGGGGAGCAAACGGG